AUGGAGGAGUACUCAGCGUCCUCCUCCCAGCGCGGUGGCGGUGGCGGCCGCGGGGAGCUGCAGGGCCCGCGCCCGGCGCCGCUCAGGGUCCACAAGGACUCGCACAGGAUCAAGAAGCCGCCCGCCUCGCAGGUGCGGCAGCCGGUCAUCAUCUACACGGUGUCGCCCAAGGUCGUGCACGCCAACCCCGGCGAGUUCAUGUCCGUCGUGCAGCGCCUCACCGGCGCCUCCUCGUCAUCCUCCUCACUCCCACCGCCGCCACAGUCGACGCUCCCGUUCCCGUUCUUCCCGCAGCGGUCGUCGUCUUCCAUGCUCCCGCCGGCGUUGCCGCAAACGCUGCCGUUCCCGUUCCAGCUCCAGCAAGCAUCUGGGCCGCAGGCGCACGAGGGUGCGCUGCUCCAGCAUCAGCACUCGCCUGCCGCGCGCCUCGCUGCCAUCGAGCAGGCGUCGGCGCCAGCCGCACGGAGCACCGGUGUUCAUCGUGGAGGGCUGCCGCCGCUGCCGAGCAUCCUGUCUCCGGUGCCGGGAUCUCUCCCGGCGAUCCCACCGGGCUUCUUCUCUCCGCCGGCCGGCGGAGCUGGCGGUGGCAUCAAUCUGUUCGGCGAGCUGAUCAGCCCGGCAUUCCAUGGCCACGGCGCGCUAACCGGCACCACCGCCGGUGCAAGUCCUACACCAAUGUCAUUACAGUAUUUCCCCGCUGCAGCUGCGCCGUCGCCGUCGACCCCCUACUAUUGGGAUCUCUUCAACAACCACCCAAACCACCUAUAA
This 768-nucleotide ribosomal RNA is filed under the name Triticum aestivum (bread wheat). RNAcentral's name for it is "partial small subunit ribosomal RNA". The record is from RNAcentral. Lineage: Eukaryota; Viridiplantae; Streptophyta; Magnoliopsida; Poales; Poaceae.